GUGGGGGUGCGUACGAUCGCACAGGAAGAAAGGGGCACAAACCCUAAUUCAAGAUAAACCUUCAAACUGAAAGGGGAAACUGGCUCUAAUCGGAUGCAUGAACCUAGAUUCUUAAUCAUCUAGACUUUCUACACAUGAGCUUGACUCUUGACAAGCUAUAUGGGAUCUUGGAGAAGAAUGGGUUAAACGGAUCAAGUACGCAAAGAAGCUCUAAAGGACACAAAGCAAGUAAAGCUUACAUCUUUUGUAGAAUAUGAAUUUGUUUUUAUGAACUAUAAAUACGAUAAAAUCGAAAUGUGGUUUCCGACACGAUAUGAUACAUGUCGGAGUAGAUAUAAACGAUAAAAACCAUGGUUAAUAGUAAAAAGGGGCAAAUUGGUAAUUUAGUCAUGAAUGACUAAGAUUUAAUGAGUUUUCGUUAAGGUUACCUUAUAGUGUAACUAAUAAAAGAAAUAGCGGGGUAAAAUCCGAAAUGGGUCGGAUGCGUGAAUUUGAAAUUAAAAUAUCAAGUUUUAUAAACAUUAAUAUUUGGUCAGUUAGACCACACGGGUCAAAUGGUAGUGAUAAUACCAUUUGACAAAUUCAAUUAAUGUUUGGUUGGCAAGUCACUUGUUCAUAGGAGCGAAUAGCAAUUUGGAUACUUGCGUCGCCAUAAAGUUUCGGCUAAUAAAGCGAGGUAUAAAAACGGGUCUAUGCGUUGACUCGAGCAAGGUGGCGUGGACUUAGCAUCAUUACGAAGAAAAGAAGGUUUGAAGAUCGAGUCAAGAGCGAGGGUUGUACGGGAAGGAUCGGUCACAUAAUUUGACAAAAAAAAUAUAUAGGUCUUGAAGUAUUAAUAUAACGGGACGUGGUAAAUCCUUUUUAAUGAGUGUAUGAAUUUUUGUAGUUGAACCUUCCUGUAAGUGUUAUGUCUAGUAAAUAACGAAAUUUUUGGGCUCUUAUUUUCCGCUGUGACGUAAUUUAA
Helianthus annuus (common sunflower) is the source of this 964-nucleotide long non-coding RNA. RefSeq lists it as uncharacterized. The transcript is spliced from 3 exons. The record is from RefSeq and is a predicted model, not a curated record. Lineage: Eukaryota; Viridiplantae; Streptophyta; Magnoliopsida; Asterales; Asteraceae.